AGGAUGAACGCUGGCGGCGUGCCUAACACAUGCAAGUCGAACGUCCUGUCUCGCAAGAGGCAGGGAGUGGCGGACGGGUGAGUACCACGUGGGUCAUCUACCGUGAGGUGAGGAAUACCGGCGAGAAAUCGCCGACAAGACCGCAUAGCCUCGGUGCAAGCCGAGGAAAGCUUUCUCGAGAGAGGGAGCGCCACACGAGGAGCCUGCGCCCGAUUAGCUAGCUGGUGGAGUAACGGUUCACCAGGGCGACGAUCGGUAGCUGGUCUGAGAGGACGAUCAGCCACACUGGGAUUGAGAACGGCCCAGACUCCUACGGGGGGCAGCAGUGAGGAAUUUUCGUCAAUGGGGGCAACCCUGAACGAGCAACGCCGCGUGCAGGAAGAAGGUUUUCGGAUCGUAAACUGCUUUUCGUCGGGAAGAGAACGGACGGUACCCGAGGAAUCAGCCCCGGCUAACUACGUGCCAGCAGCCGCGGUAA
RNAcentral lists this ribosomal RNA (478 nucleotides) under uncultured bacterium. RNAcentral's name for it is "SSU rRNA". It matches the Rfam family "Bacterial small subunit ribosomal RNA", at positions 26 to 523 of the family's 1533-position model. The record is from RNAcentral.